RNAcentral lists this long non-coding RNA (3842 nucleotides) under Homo sapiens (human). RNAcentral describes it as "HSALNT0096720". The record is from RNAcentral. Lineage: Eukaryota; Metazoa; Chordata; Mammalia; Primates; Hominidae.
GCAAAGGCUUGAUUUCUGGCCUUUUCCCAUGGAGAGCAGCUUCAACCCAACUCCACAGAGAACCCAGGAGUGAAAGUUGGGUACCUCAGAGUUUGUCUACAUUUGAGUUUCAUUCCAGGCCAACAAAGUGAUGUUGGAGAGGAGGCAUUCUGAAAUCCCCAGCAAGUCCAGAUGGGUAACCUGGGCUGUUCAGGACCAGUUACAGGCACAGAGGCAGCACAUGCAAAACGAGCCCGAACACCAGUGCCAGCCCUUCCACUAGAGCUGCAGGGGUGCCUUUAUUUUAUCUUCUCAUUUUUCCUCUUCUGAAAAAAUCUCUGCUGCUUUAUCUGAGAGGUGUUUUCCAGAAGCUGAAGGUUGAUGCUGAACUGCUGAAGCUGGAGGAGCCAGAUGACAAAGAGCAUGGUGAGGAGGAGUAUCAGGCUAUGACACACGUUAUUUUGGAAAAACUUUUCAUAUGAUUAUUUAUUUUUCUAAUCCACCAUUUUUGGAAUGAGCUGAGAUUAGCCCAACUAAUAUUAACAUCAGUUCUAGGCUUGAAUCCAAACAGACUUUUCAAGAUCUCUAAAUUCCUUCAGAGAUGCUUAGAGGGAUAGAAUGCAGCUGAAUCACAGUCUCCCAACCAGAUCUUCCUUACCCGUGAGAACUACGGUCAAAGGAGGACUUAUCCAAGGAACUGCAAAGACUUUUUGAUCCAGACAUCAGUUUAUCUAGGCACUCACCACUGAUGGUCCAAGUCCAUCCACUUGGUCCUGAGAAAACCUUCUCAAAGUGCCUGGGAGAAAAUCCAUGGUUUCACUGAGACACCAAUGAGUAUGAAUAAUAGAGAAGACCAGACCUUGGCUGACACUUUGAGAAUCUCUGAUAGAAUUGAUUCCCCCUCUCAGCUGGCACCAUCCAGGAAGAACCACAUGACCAGCUUGCCUGCUUGAUCUGAGCAGCACUGAUUGAAAGAGAAAACUACUGUUUUGUGAAUGAUCAACCUCACUCAAAGUUGACAUUUUUAACAUUGAAGUUGUGCCCCUCCCCGGUCUCCCUCUGAUGCCACUGAAGUUGUGAAAGCUGAGGCUGGACUGUACUGCGGCCAUCUCGGCUCACUGCAACCUCCCUGCCUGAUUCUCCUGCCUCAGCCUGCAGAGUGCCUGGGAUUGCAGGCGCGCGCCACCACACCUGACUGGUUUUUGCAUUUUUUGGUGGAGACGGGGUUUCGCCAUGUUGGCCGGGCUGGUCUCCAGCUCCUGACCGCAAGUGAUCUGCCUGCCUCUGCCUCCCGAGGUGCCGGGAUUGCAGACGGAGUCUCACUCACUCAGUGCUCAAUGUUGCCUAGGCUGGAGUGCAGUGGCGUGAUCUCGGCUCGCUACAACCUCCACCUCCCAGCCGCCUGCCUUGGCCUCCCAAAGUGUCGAGAUUGCAGCCUCUGCCUGGCUGCCACCCCGUCUGGGAAGUGAGGAGUGUCUCUGCCUGGCCGCCCAGUCUGGGAAGUGAGGAGCCCCUCUGACAGGCCGCCCAGUCUGGGAAGUGAGGGGCGCCUCUUCCCGGCCGCCAUCCAGUCUAGGAAGUGAGGAGUGUCUCUGCCCCGCCGCCCAUCGUCUGAGAUGUGGGGAGUACCUCUGCCCCACCGCCCCAUCUGGGAUGUGAGGAGUGCCUCUGCCCGGCCACGACCCCAUCUGGGAACUGAGGAGUGUCUCUGCCUGACCGCCACCCCAUCUGGGAGCUGAAUAAUCUGGAGAUGGUGCUGGCAAAAGUCAGUAGAGACAGAGAGAGCUCAAAGCUCCCAGGAGCAUCCUGAUUCUGGCAGAAGCAGGAGCAGAGAGUUUAGAAUCAUGAGAUCAUCAUAAACCCCCUUCUUGGAAGAUCUCAGGACCUCAGACCACAGAAAUUACCCUCCACUUCAGUUUUGCCAUCCAUCAUACUAAGGCAGAAACACAUCUCACCUUCCUGCUACUCAAGAAUUGGCAAAUAAAGGCAAAAUCUCGCCCCUCUCUGAGAUUCUCAAAGAACAGUGUUUGACUCUGUUCAGUGGGGUUUUCCAGGGCCAAAAAUGCCUGUGGGAUUGAUUUUGGAGUCCCAGCAACCCUCAUCUCUUAGUCCUUAUAUUGCAUGCAGGUCCACAGGAAGAGAGGGUUGGCACUCAAAGGAUCACAGUUUCUAUCCCACGUCAUCACUCUUACUGACCACUCUGGCUCUGGGGAUGCUGCAUCUCUCUGAAAUCCACCCAGUUGCGGGAAAUACUGAGAGUUUAGGCCUACUUCCCAUUAUCUGAAUAAAAUAGAUAACAUCGUUUUUUCUUUUCCAAGAAAAUGGAAAUCAAGCCCACUGUUUUGUGUUAUCAGUUUAACCGCUGAGUUGAGGUGUCACCAGCAAGUACUGAGCUUUAACUGUUUCCAAAUGGGGCUUCUGAGAGGCACUGAGUUGGCAUCUACCAAGGACUUGGUCUACACAUAGAGGGAAGACAGAGACCAGGAAACACUCAUCUUUCUGCAAUUCAACUCUGGGCUCCAUCUUGAAGGAAAUGAAUGCAUGAAGAACAUUCUUAACCUAGUAUGUCUACGGCCAUACCACCCUAGGCGUGCCCAAUCUCGUCUGAACCCAGUACGUGACAUGCCCUAUGCUGAUGCUUUCAUAUGCGUUACCUUAUUUAAUCCUCAUGACUUCCACAUUAAUAAUAAUUACCUAUGAUGUGAGAGGGUCAUUAUACCAAUUUUAUGAAGAAAAUAUGGCUCAAAGAAAUAAUUUUUAAGUAGCAACACCAACAUUUGGAAUCUUCUUGAAACUUCUAACUCCUAGAAGACCACCAUGCUGUAUUUUUGGUCUACAAAUUUAAAUGGAAUAGUAUCUAAUGUUGGGGAAAACGGGAGGAAUGAAGGGUGACUGCUAAAGAGUACAGGAUUUCUUUUAGUGGUGAUGAAAAUGUUCUAAAAUUGACAGUGAUGACCAUUGCUCAACUCCAUGAGGACUCUAAAAUUCAUUGAAUUGUAUAUUUUAAAUGGGUGAAUUGUAUGGCAUGUGAGUUAUAACCACACAGAGCUGUUACAAAUAAGUAAUAUUUAAUGGAGGCCUCUUCCCACCCUACUCUACAACAGUCACAAAAACCUCUCAAUUUUCCCAUAUAUCCUGAAGUAGAAGGGCUUGCCUUUUAUCUCUUUGUAAUUUUAUGUAGUGGACAAUAAACAAAUGGCUGAUUGUAAUGAUGAAAAAGAUCCAAAUUUCUCCAGUAAAGUUGGGGGAGAAAUGCCCAGUUACAAGCAGCUGAAUGGAGGUCAGAGAGAACCAUAAUCCCAGAUAAAAAAUAAGCAGGCAAAAUUUUCUGUAGCACAAUCCCUCUCUCAUUUCAAGAAUCUGCCCACACGCUCCUCACACCUCCUCCUCUCCUGUCACUACCACCAUGAUCUUGUGGUUACACAAUUUCAUUCAGAGUCAAAAUUAGAAAUUAACUAAAGAAGCUAUGGUAUGGUAUUUUAUUCUAAGAUGUCAUCUCUUUUCAAAUGAAUCAUCAAUUUAAUAACAGUUUUCCAAGUGUUAAAAAUGUGGGGUAAAAAUGCAUUUUAGAAUCAAAGAAAUGUACUAAUCCCUAUGAAGAUGGUAAUCCAAUUAAAGUGUAAUUUCUCCAUAUUUGAAGACAUUUUCAGUGCAUGAAAAUGCUUUUUAGAAUCAGAGGGCUAAUGAAUGUUUAAUGAUGUAAAUCUAUGCCUGACACAAUAGAAGAACGACUGGUGUUUAUUGUUUAGGAUGGAGGGGGCCGCUUCCCAGAAUCUAUCGAAUGCCCAAAGCCUGUGCCCUCCCCAUUCAUUUUUCUGGGCUGAACCCUCACUCUCAUUUUCAAGGUUAACAGGGGAAGUAGA